This 456-nucleotide ribosomal RNA is filed under the name uncultured bacterium. Its description in RNAcentral is "bacterial SSU rRNA". It matches the Rfam family "Bacterial small subunit ribosomal RNA", at positions 923 to 1379 of the family's 1533-position model. The record is from RNAcentral.
GCACAAGCGGUGGAGCAUGUGGUUUAAUUCGACGCAACGCGAAGAACCUUACCUGGGCUCGAAAUGUAGUGGAAUCCGGCAGAAACGUCGGCGUCUAGCAAUAGACCGCUAUAUAGGUGCUGCAUGGCUGUCGUCAGCUCGUGUCGUGAGAUGUUGGGUUAAGUCCCGCAACGAGCGCAACCCUUAUCUACAGUUGCUACCAUUUAGUUGAGCACUCUGUCGAAACCGCCUCGGAUAACGGGGAGGAAGGUGGGGAUGACGUCAAGUCCUCAUGGCCUUUAUGUCCAGGGCUACACACGUGCUACAAUGGCCGAUACAAACCGCUGCAAACCCGCGAGGGGGAGCUAAUCGGAAAAAGUCGGCCUCAGUUCGGAUUGGAGUCUGCAACUCGACUCCAUGAAGCUGGAAUCGCUAGUAAUCGUGGAUCAGCAUGCCACGGUGAAUACGUUCCCGGGC